Pseudomonas syringae pv. maculicola str. M6 is the source of this 62-nucleotide non-coding RNA. Lineage: Bacteria; Pseudomonadati; Pseudomonadota; Gammaproteobacteria; Pseudomonadales; Pseudomonadaceae. The record is from Rfam.
AUCUGCACAGGAGAUGGCAUUCCUCCUUGAAACCGCCUCGUGCUGAUGAUGCCUACGUAAAC